UUCACCACUCAAGCUCUGCUUGGCGUUGGAGGACCCGCGUUUGCGGGCCGCCGAAAUGAAUCGGCUGUUAUACUUGCAGCUUCCCUGCGUAGUAAUUUUGUGUUACGCUUUGAAACUCUUGUACUACAUGCCGUUAAACCCAUCAAUUUUUUGAAAGGU
This 159-nucleotide ribosomal RNA is filed under the name Thielaviopsis paradoxa. Its description in RNAcentral is "5.8S ribosomal RNA". Lineage: Eukaryota; Fungi; Ascomycota; Sordariomycetes; Microascales; Ceratocystidaceae. The record is from RNAcentral.